RNAcentral lists this ribosomal RNA (1027 nucleotides) under Salmonella enterica subsp. enterica serovar Ealing. RNAcentral's name for it is "partial 23S ribosomal RNA". It matches the Rfam family "Bacterial large subunit ribosomal RNA", at positions 711 to 1735 of the family's 2925-position model. Lineage: Bacteria; Pseudomonadati; Pseudomonadota; Gammaproteobacteria; Enterobacterales; Enterobacteriaceae. The record is from RNAcentral.
AGACCCGAAACCCGGUGAUCUAGCCAUGGGCAGGUUGAAGGUUGGGUAACACUAACUGGAGGACCGAACCGACUAAUGUUGAAAAAUUAGCGGAUGACCUGUGGCUGGGGGUGAAAGGCCAAUCAAACCGGGAGAUAGCUGGUUCUCCCCGAAAGCUAUUUAGGUAGCGCCUCGUGAAUUCAUCUCCGGGGGUAGAGCACUGUUUCGGCUAGGGGGCCAUCCCGGCUUACCAACCCGAUGCAAACUGCGAAUACCGGAGAAUGUUAUCACGGGAGACACACGGCGGGUGCUAACGUCCGUCGUGAAGAGGGAAACAACCCAGACCGCCAGCUAAGGUCCCAAAGUCAUGGUUAAGUGGGAAACGAUGUGGGAAGGCCCAGACAGCCAGGAUGUUGGCUUAGAAGCAGCCAUCAUUUAAAGAAAGCGUAAUAGCUCACUGGUCGAGUCGGCCUGCGCGGAAGAUGUAACGGGGCUAAACCAUGCACCGAAGCUGCGGCAGCGACGCUGAUGCGUUGUUGGGUAGGGGAGCGUUCUGUAAGCCUGUGAAGGUGUGUCGUGAGGCAUGCUGGAGGUAUCAGAAGUGCGAAUGCUGACAUAAGUAACGAUAAAGCGGGUGAAAAGCCCGCUCGCCGGAAGACCAAGGGUUCCUGUCCAACGUUAAUCGGGGCAGGGUGAGUCGACCCCUAAGGCGAGGCCGAAAGGCGUAGUCGAUGGGAAACGGGUUAAUAUUCCCGUACUUGGUGUUACUGCGAAGGGGGGACGGAGAAGGCUAUGUUGGCCGGGCGACGGUUGUCCCGGUUUAAGCGUGUAGGUGUGUGUUCCAGGUAAAUCCGGUUCACUUUAACACUGAGGCGUGACGACGAGGCACUACGGUGCUGAAGCAACAAAUGCCCUGCUUCCAGGAAAAGCCUCUAAGCAUCAGGUAACAUCAAAUCGUACCCCAAACCGACACAGGUGGUCAGGUAGAGAAUACCAAGGCGCUUGAGAGAACUCGGGUGAAGGAACUAGGCAAAAUGGUGCCGUAACU